This 245-nucleotide ribosomal RNA is filed under the name uncultured bacterium. RNAcentral describes it as "partial 16S ribosomal RNA". It matches the Rfam family "Bacterial small subunit ribosomal RNA", at positions 15 to 252 of the family's 1533-position model. The record is from RNAcentral.
GAUCUGGCUCAGGAUGAACGCUAGCUACAGGCUUAACACAUGCAAGUCGAGGGGCAGCGGGAUUGAAGCUUGCUUCAAUUGCCGGCGACCGGCGCACGGGUGAGUAACGUGUAUCCAACCUUCCGUACACUCAGGGAUAGCCUUUCGAAAGAAAGAUUAAUACCUGAUGGUAUCUUAAGCACACAUGUAAUUAAGAUUAAAGAUUUAUCGGUGUACGAUGGGGAUGCGUUCCAUUAGGUAGUAGG